Non-coding RNA from Planctomyces sp. SH-PL14, 356 nucleotides. It matches the Rfam family "transfer-messenger RNA". Rfam says of the family: Bacterial tmRNA, also known as 10Sa RNA or SsrA, is named for its dual tRNA and mRNA-like properties. Its role is to liberate the mRNA from a stalled ribosome. Lineage: Bacteria; Pseudomonadati; Planctomycetota; Planctomycetia; Planctomycetales; Planctomycetaceae. The record is from Rfam.
GGGGGCGAUCGGAUUCGACUGGUUCUCCGCGGGUGGUGGUUGCGUGUCGUGGUUGAUCAGUUUGCCACGUAAAAAGCUGAUCAAAAAAGAACUGCCAACAAGCAGUUUGCCCUCGCUGCCUAGAGAUAGGCGCGACCGUCUGCGGAAGCCCUGCCUGAGGCGUCCAAAAGUCGGUUACCAAUUCGGGCUGGUCUCCUCUCACUGAUCGCUGGUGAGGAGACGAGAUCAAAGGCGAUCUGGUCAGAGAACGUUCUGUUCGCCGUACCGACCCUGACGACUUGAACGACGGACUACACACGUAGAGGCCCCAUCUCAGGGCUCUCAGGACGGGGGUUCAAUUCCCCCCGCCUCCAUGU